This 241-nucleotide ribosomal RNA is filed under the name uncultured bacterium. RNAcentral describes it as "partial 16S ribosomal RNA". It matches the Rfam family "Bacterial small subunit ribosomal RNA", at positions 92 to 334 of the family's 1533-position model. The record is from RNAcentral.
CGACCGGCGCACGGGUGCGUAACGCGUAUGCAACCUACCCAUAACAGGGGGAUAACACUGAGAAAUUGGUACUAAUACCCCAUAACAUCAGGACCGGCAUCGGUUCUGGUUGAAAACUCCGGUGGUUAUGGAUGGGCAUGCGUUGUAUUAGCUGGUUGGUGAGGUAACGGCUCACCAAGGCAACGAUACAUAGGGGGACUGAGAGGUUAACCCCCCACACUGGUACUGAGACACGGACCAG